UUCAUGGGUGUACUAAAUCUUAAUUGAAUUAGAAUUAAAAAUAGAGUUUGACUUAAGCAUCAAGAGAGAAUCCAAAAAGACUAGGACUCCUCCUCUAAUUAGGUGACAUUUAAUCUAAAUAGUUUGGACUCCUAAUCAGAUUAAGAUUUCAAUCUAUUUAGAUCUAAUUAAUUUUUAAUAUGAUUAAAAUUGAUUAGAGUUUAAAUUGAUUUAAAUCAGCCACCUAAAGAAGAGUCCCAUGUGGAUUUGAUUAAAACUCAAGCACCA
Molecule: long non-coding RNA, 267 nt
Filed under: Elaeis guineensis (African oil palm)
Lineage: Eukaryota; Viridiplantae; Streptophyta; Magnoliopsida; Arecales; Arecaceae
Description: long non-coding RNA (EGUI_LNC048743)
Source: RNAcentral